UACGUAGGGUGCGAGCGUUAAUCGGAAUUACUGGGCGUAAAGCGUGCGCAGGCGGUUUUGUAAGCCAGAUGUGAAAUCCCCGGGCUUAACCUGGGAAUGGCAUUUGGGACUGCAAGGCUGGAGUGCGGCAGAGGAGACUGGAAUUCCUGGUGUAGCGGUGAAAUGCGCAGAUAUCAGGAGGAACACCGGUGGCGAAGGCGGGUCUCUGGGCCGAUACUGACGCUGAGGAGCGAAAGCGUGGGGAGCGAACAGG
Molecule: ribosomal RNA, 253 nt
Filed under: uncultured bacterium
Lineage: Bacteria
Description: partial 16S ribosomal RNA
Rfam family: Bacterial small subunit ribosomal RNA
Source: RNAcentral